RNAcentral lists this transfer RNA (73 nucleotides) under Jatropha curcas. It matches the Rfam family "tRNA". From Rfam's summary of the family: Transfer RNA (tRNA) molecules are approximately 80 nucleotides in length. Their secondary structure includes four short double-helical elements and three loops (D, anti-codon, and T loops). Further hydrogen bonds mediate the characteristic L-shaped molecular structure. tRNAs have two regions of fundamental functional importance: the anti-codon, which is responsible for specific mRNA codon recognition, and the 3' end, to which the tRNAs corresponding amino acid is attached (by aminoacyl-tRNA synthetases). tRNAs cope with the degeneracy of the genetic code in two manners: having more than one tRNA (with a specific anti-codon) for a particular amino acid; and 'wobble' base-pairing, i.e. permitting non-standard base-pairing at the 3rd anti-codon position. The record is from Rfam by way of RNAcentral. Lineage: Eukaryota; Viridiplantae; Streptophyta; Magnoliopsida; Malpighiales; Euphorbiaceae.
GGUGAUGUAGCUCAAACGGUAGAGCGCUCGCUUUGCAUGCGAAAAGCACGGGGUUCGAUACCCCGCAUCUCCA